Molecule: microRNA precursor, 103 nt
Filed under: Marmota monax (woodchuck)
Lineage: Eukaryota; Metazoa; Chordata; Mammalia; Rodentia; Sciuridae
Source: RNAcentral
UGUGGUAUAAUUGGGUCAAAUUGUGAUUCUAUUCCAAGUUUUUGGAGGAAUAUCCAUGCUGCUUUCCAUAGUGGUUUUACCAAUUUGCAGUCCCACCAGCAAU